AACGAACGCUGGCGGCAGGCCUAACACAUGCAAGUCGAGCGAGGACUUCGGUCCUAGCGGCGGACGGGUGAGUAACGCGUGGGAACGUGCCCUUUGCUUCGGAAUAGCCCUGGGAAACUAGGAGUAAUACCGGAUGAGCCCUUUGGGGGAAAGAUUUAUCGGCGAAGGAUCGGCCCGCGUUGGAUUAGGUAGUUGGUGGGUAAUGGCCUACCAAGCCGACGAUCCAUAGCUGGUUUGAGAGGAUGAUCAGCCACACUGGGACUGAGACACGGCCCAGACUCCUACGGGAGGCAGCAGUGGGGAAUCUUAGACAAUGGGGGAAACCCUGAUCUAGCCAUGCCGCGUGAGCGAUGAAGGCCUUAGGGUUGUAAAGCUCUUUCAGCUGGGAAGAUAAUGACGGUACCAGCAGAAGAAGCCCCGGCUAACUCCGUG
Molecule: ribosomal RNA, 432 nt
Filed under: uncultured bacterium
Lineage: Bacteria
Description: partial 16S ribosomal RNA
Rfam family: Bacterial small subunit ribosomal RNA
Source: RNAcentral